Penaeus indicus is the source of this 326-nucleotide long non-coding RNA. RefSeq lists it as uncharacterized. The transcript has 3 exons. The record is from RefSeq and is a predicted model, not a curated record. Lineage: Eukaryota; Metazoa; Arthropoda; Malacostraca; Decapoda; Penaeidae.
UUUGCUGGAGAGGCCUCGGCUACGAUGUAGUUUUGCUGGAUGCUGUUUUUAAGAUUAAGUGUUUUUCCGGUGUCGUUCAAACACACUCUACAAUUAUUUUACUAAUGUGAAAGCUACAGAAGCCAGUGGCACAAUGGAACAAGACUUUCCAUGGACGGAGGAGCAAACCUUCUGCUUCAUCCAAGCCCGAGCACGAUUGAAGACGAGUUCCAAUGGAGCUCCUGACUAUCUGUAUCAGUCUGUGAUUGAUGAACUGGGUCUAACUGGUCAGAUCAGUCCUGCACAAGCAAGGAGGCACUGGGAUGCUUUAGUCACCAGGUACAAGG